UCAGUAGGAGCUUAGGCU
Molecule: small nuclear RNA, 18 nt
Filed under: Arabidopsis thaliana (thale cress)
Lineage: Eukaryota; Viridiplantae; Streptophyta; Magnoliopsida; Brassicales; Brassicaceae
Description: snRNA_18732
Source: RNAcentral